CAGAGUCUCUGAAGGUGAAUGCCAGGGCAUGGGGACUGGUGGCAACCAUCAACUUCACUCUCUUGGGAUGUUCAUCCAUGCACUGAGGACCUGCCUAAAAUGUCUCCAGACCUUGAAUACAGAGAGGAAUUAUGGUUUCCCUCACAUCUAAGGCCCUGAACCAACUCUUCUGGGAUUGAUGGCAUUGAGAAUAUCUUUCUUUUACAGUAAACCCUCUCACCGCCUGCAUCAGGAAGGACUUGGGACAUCCAGGAGACACUGAAUAAGGAAAAGCCACAUAGGCAGGUAGG
Suricata suricatta (meerkat) is the source of this 290-nucleotide long non-coding RNA. RefSeq lists it as uncharacterized. The transcript has 3 exons. NCBI's taxonomy places the organism in Eukaryota, Metazoa, Chordata, Mammalia, Carnivora, Herpestidae. The record is from RefSeq and is a predicted model, not a curated record.